This 443-nucleotide ribosomal RNA is filed under the name uncultured bacterium. RNAcentral's name for it is "partial 16S ribosomal RNA". It matches the Rfam family "Bacterial small subunit ribosomal RNA", at positions 338 to 795 of the family's 1533-position model. The record is from RNAcentral.
CCUACGGGGCGCAGCAGUGGGGAAUAUUGGGCAAUGGGCGCAAGCCUGACCCAGCAACGCCGCGUGAAGGAAGAAGGCUUUCGGGUUGUAAACUUCUUUUCUCAGGGACGAAGAAAGUGACGGUACCUGAGGAAUAAGCCACGGCUAACUACGGGCCAGCAGCCGCGGUAAUCGGUAGGUGGCAAGCGUUAUCCGGAUUUACUGGGUGUAAAGGGCGUGUAGGCGGGGAAGCAAGUCAGAUGUGAAAUCCACGGGCUCAACCUGUGGCCUGCAGUUGAAACUGUUUUUCUUGAGUACUGGAGAGGCAGACGGAAUUCCUGGUGUAGCGGUGAAAUGCGUAGAUAUUAGGAGGAACACCAGUUGCGAAGGCGGUCUGCUGGACAGCAACUGACGCUGAGGCGCGAAAGCGUGGGGAGCAAACAGGAUUAGAUACCCUUGUAGUC